GAUGAACGCUGGCGGCGUGCCUAAUACAUGCAAGUCGAGCGAACAGAUGAGGAGCUUGCUCCUCUGACGUUAGUGGCGGACGGGUGAGUAACACGUGGAUAACCUACCUAUAAGACUGGGAUAACUUCGGGAAACCGGAGCUAAUACCGGAUAAUAUAUUGAACCGCAUGGUUCAAUAGUGAAAGACGGUUUUGCUGUCACUUAUAGAUGGAUCCGCGCCGCAUUAGCUAGUUGGUAAGGUAACGGCUUACCAAGGCAACGAUGCGUAGCCGACCUGAGAGGGUGAUCGGCCACACUGGAACUGAGACACGGUCCAGACUCCUAAGGGAGGCAGCAGUAGGGAAUCUUCCGCAAUGGGCGAAAGCCUGACGGAGCAACGCCGCGUGAGUGAUGAAGGUCUUCGGAUCGUAAAACUCUGUUAUUAGGGAAGAACAAAUGUGUAAGUAACUAUGCACGUCUUGACGGUACCUAAUCAGAAAGCCACGGCUAACUACGCG
RNAcentral lists this ribosomal RNA (497 nucleotides) under uncultured bacterium. RNAcentral describes it as "partial 16S ribosomal RNA". It matches the Rfam family "Bacterial small subunit ribosomal RNA", at positions 28 to 507 of the family's 1533-position model. The record is from RNAcentral.